GACGAACGCUGGCGGCGUGCUUAACACAUGCAAGUCGAACGGAAAGGCCCCCUUGUGGGGUACUCGAGUGGCGAACGGGUGAGUAACACGUGAGUAACCUACCCUUGACUUUGGGAUAACUUCAGGAAACUGGGGCUAAUACCGGAUAGGAGCUCCUGCUGCAUGGUGGGGGUUGGAAAGUUUCGGCGGUUGGGGAUGGACUCGCGGCUUAUCAGCUUGUUGGUGGGGUAGUGGCUCACCAAGGCUUUGACGGGUAGCCGGCCUGAGAGGGUGACCGGCCACAUUGGGACUGAAAUACGGGCCAGACGCAUGCGGGAGGCAGCAGUGGGGAGGAGUGCACAAGGGGCGGAAGGCUGAUGCAGCAACGAAGCGUGAGGGAUGAGGGAGUUCGGGUGGUAAACAGCGAGGGCCUGGGACGAAGCGGGAGAGAGGGGAAUGGGUAAAGAAGCACCGGCUAACUACGUG
RNAcentral lists this ribosomal RNA (465 nucleotides) under uncultured bacterium. RNAcentral describes it as "partial 16S ribosomal RNA". It matches the Rfam family "Bacterial small subunit ribosomal RNA", at positions 28 to 507 of the family's 1533-position model. The record is from RNAcentral.